Molecule: ribosomal RNA, 618 nt
Filed under: Triticum aestivum (bread wheat)
Lineage: Eukaryota; Viridiplantae; Streptophyta; Magnoliopsida; Poales; Poaceae
Description: partial small subunit ribosomal RNA
Source: RNAcentral
AUGCCGAACUGGGAGGAGUGGUCUUUUUUUGAGGAUCCGGAAGUGGAUGCCCAUUCUGCAAUGUUGCAACUGCUGCCCCGUUUAGUGCUUUUGAAACUCGAUGGUUGCCCGAAGCUGAGGGCUCUCCCGCGGCAGCUUGGAGAGGUCGCUGCCAGCUUGAAGGAGCUUAGAUUAAUUGGAACAAACAACUUGAAGGCCCUGGAGGACUUCCCACUGCUCUCGGUUCUCCUUAUACAGAAUUGUACAAGCCUGGAGUUGAUUUCCAACCUCCCUCGAGUGACAGACAUGUGUGCACAUGGCUGUCCAAACUUAAGCCAUGUAGAGGGGUUGGGUAGUUUGCAGCAGCUGGGGCUGGGCGUGGAUAUGCAAGAGAUCUCUUCCCACUGGCUGCCUCAGCUUCGAAAACAGAACCAGCGAGUUCAUGGCGAAGACCUGGAUGUCUACGCGCUGUCUACCAGUUAUAUGGCAAUGAAAGCACAAGUUUACUUCAGCGGGCAAAGCAUGAGACAUGCUAAGUUGAGGAAGCCUGUCAAUACUGAAGACGCAAAGUUUCUUCCUAUUUUUCUGUGGCAGGUGCCCUUCAAAUACUGUAUUGCAUUUCAUUUUGCUUAUUUCUAA